GAUUAACGCUAGCGGCAGGCCUAAUACAUGCAAGUCGAACGGGAUUCAAAGUAGCAAUAUUUUGAUGAGAGUGGCGCACGGGUGAGUAACACGUAUGCAAUUUACCUUUAACUGGGGGAUAGCCCUCCGAAAGGAGGAUUAAUACCGCAUAAUAUAUUGAAAUGGCAUCAUUUUAAUAUUAAACCUACGGGGUUAAAGAUGAGCAUGCAUCCGAUUAGCUAGUUGGUGUGGUAACGGCUCACCAAGGCAACGAUCGGUAGGGGUCUGAGAGGAUGAUCCCCCACACUGGUACUGAGACACGGACCAGACUCCUACGGGAGGCAGCAGUAAGGAAUAUUGGACAAUGGAGGCAACUCUGAUCCAGCCAUGCCGCGUGAAGGAUUAAGGCCCUAUGGGUUGUAAACUUCUUUAGACGGGACAAAACCCCUUUACGUGUAAAGGUUGAUGGUACUGUCAGAAUAAGCAUCGGCUAACUUCGUGCCAGCAGCCGCGGUAAAAUGCGUA
RNAcentral lists this ribosomal RNA (504 nucleotides) under uncultured bacterium. RNAcentral's name for it is "bacterial SSU rRNA". It matches the Rfam family "Bacterial small subunit ribosomal RNA", at positions 28 to 529 of the family's 1533-position model. The record is from RNAcentral.